Molecule: ribosomal RNA, 253 nt
Filed under: uncultured bacterium
Lineage: Bacteria
Description: partial 16S ribosomal RNA
Rfam family: Bacterial small subunit ribosomal RNA
Source: RNAcentral
UACGAAGGGGGCUAGCGUUGCUCGGAAUCACUGGGCGUAAAGGGUGCGUAGGCGGGUCUUUAAGUCAGGGGUGAAAUCCUGGAGCUCAACUCCAGAACUGCCUUUGAUACUGAGGAUCUUGAGUUCGGGAGAGGUGAGUGGAACUGCGAGUGUAGAGGUGAAAUUCGUAGAUAUUCGCUAGAACACCAGUGGCGAAGGCGGCUCACUGGCCCGAUACUGACGCUGAGGCACGAAAGCGUGGGGAGCAAACAGG